Molecule: long non-coding RNA, 1575 nt
Organism: Ananas comosus (pineapple)
Lineage: Eukaryota; Viridiplantae; Streptophyta; Magnoliopsida; Poales; Bromeliaceae
Exons: 5
Source: RefSeq, a predicted model, not a curated record
GAGAAAGGAGAGUCUUUCUCUCUUUCUCUCUUUUCUUCUAUCUCACCACUCUCUCUCCCUCUCUUGUAAUCUCUCCUCCAAAGAGAAAUUGGAGAAGAAGCUUGGUGGAGAGGAAGGCUUGGAGUUGAGCUACUACUUCUUCUUCUUCAUUGGCUCAAAAAAAGGAAGCUUUUGAGGUAUACGAACGCGUUGGCAAAGUCGGUUCGGCGAUUCGUCGAGCCGGUGCGAUGAUAUUAAAGAAACGGACGUUUCGGCUUCGUUUCCGCUUGAAGGGCCGAGGCGACGUCCAAAAAAUAAGAAUGGAUCCGGAGCAUUGUGGCAUCAAGUUAUAGACCUUUAAUUUUCGGAUUGCGGAUUGGUGGCCGUUUGGUGGUGGAGUGCGAGUUCGGGCCGAACCGGGCAACGGGUGCCGCGGGAGGCCGAUUGCAAGUGACUACAAGCAAUCGGAAUGCGAUAACAGAAUAUGCAAGAUAAGGGCCUGAUUGGAUGGUUACUUUUUUGGAGUAAAGUAUACCUAUGCUAUGGGUGUAGGAAAAAAAUCCUAAGAGGUGUUUGGAUGCUUCAAAAACACCCCAACAAAAUAGGGUAUAGUUAAACUACACCCUAAAAAACAGAGUAAAAGUAACCUCUAAAAUUUUCUCUGGAAAAAAAAUUACGCUAUUUUUUUUGGGCCGCAUCCCCACUCGCCCGACUUUCUCUGGUGCUUCUCUCUCCCUCCUGUUGCCCUCUCCACGCUUCCUUCCAUCCUCUCUCUCACCUGAGCCGCGUCUCUCUCACCUCAGCCACCGCCGCCACCGUGGAUCUCGGCCACCGCCGUUGCCAUCUCUCAGGCUGUCGCCGCCGCUCUCCGCUGCAAUCUCGUGCAUUGCUACCGCCGAAGUCACGAUCACCUCGGCUGCCGUCGCCACCGCACUAACCUCGGCCACCAUUUUCUUGCCUCGAUCUUGUCUCGCCCUUCUCGCCCCUCGCCUUGCGAUGGCCGGAGAAGGGCAGCCCCAUUUCCCUCCUCCAACAGGCAAUGAUGCAAAAAAAACAAACACGAGCAAAAUGGACGGAUGUGCAUAGAACCCAUUUAGUUGAACUUUUACAAGAACAUAAUAAAGAUAAAUGGAGAGAUCAAAAUGGAUGGACUAAAGAGGCAUGGCACAUUAUUCAUAAGGCAAUGAGUAUUAAAUUUCCCCAUUCCAAUUAUACAGUAGAACAAGUGAAAGAUCAAGAGCAACAAUUGAAAAAGCAAUUUAAAGUUGUGAAAAGCUUAGUAGAGAUGAGUGGCUUCGGUUGGGAUGGAGAUAAAAAAAUGGUUUCUGCUCCAUCAGAAGUUUGGGAACCGUUGAUUAAUGUUCACACAUGAGCGGCACAGCGGCGCGAGGAAAGGGCGUAGCUCCGUAGAUAGUGCCCUACCACCGAGACCAGAAAUAGCAUUACCCCGAGUCGGCUUAGUUAGGGGUUGUAGAAAAGAUGUAAAACAAUGUUGUAAUAAUUAUGUUAAGAACUUGAUGGUAUUUUGAAGCUAAAAAGAGAAGAAAAAGUGUAAUAUGUGAUGAAAAAUGUAAUAUGUGAGUUGAAUGCAUGUAA